This 1310-nucleotide long non-coding RNA is filed under the name Setaria italica (foxtail millet). RNAcentral's name for it is "long non-coding RNA (SITA_LNC002160)". The record is from RNAcentral. Lineage: Eukaryota; Viridiplantae; Streptophyta; Magnoliopsida; Poales; Poaceae.
UUCGAGACUGCAGCUGGCACCCAUUUGAACCCACGCUUGUGAGCUCAUCCUGGGACGGCCGGGUCGCUAAAUGGACCGGUGCCCGUGACGAGAAGAGUUCUGAUGUCGAUUGAGCCUAGUGUGCAGUGAUCAGCAAUACUUCGUGGUCUGCGAAAACAUACGCAAUCUUAUAUACGGGAAAACUAAGAAUAGCUCUUCAAAACAACAGAAGGAUCAUGUGUUGUAAAUUGUAAAUACUGAACACAGAAACCAUGUUGAGUGCAUAAGCACUACUGUGUCCUCUUAAAUACUCUGCAUAAAAAGCUUCCUGUCCCUACGGACGUGUGUCCUCUUAAUUGUCGAUGUUCCGCUGAUUAUUUGGUUCUUAGAUCAUCGGAAGCUCAUCCUUUCUGUAAAUGAAUUUUCAUGGGGUCGUCCUUUUGUAAAUGAAAAUUACCUUAGCAUAUCUUUUGAUGGGAAUGCGGCAAGUAAUCGGUAUUCUAACCCGGUAGAUGCAAGGCGAACACCGACGAAACCUAAUUCCAUUCCAGAUUUUUCCAUAUCCAAGCAACACAGAUCUUCCAACACGGACAGAGAGAGAUUUCAUCGUCUAUCCGCUACGACACCACGCAAUUUUAACAGAUCCGGCGACACCGGCUAAACCCGAUGCCUCCUCUCUAAAUCUGAAGAUCCCCGGCUACUUCUUGACGCCGUUCUUGCCGGCGCCCUUGCCGCCCUUGGCGUCGGCGCCCCCCGCAGCCUGCGCCGCCUUCCUUGCAGCCUUCUCCUGCAGCGCCUUGGCGUCCCGCUCUCGCCGCUGCUCCGGCGUGAGCCCGUCGUCGCGCCCCUUGGCCACCGGCCGCCGCGCCUGCGCCCUCUGCCGGUCCCGCUCCCGCUGGUCGCCGCGUGCAGCCCCCCGCUCAGGUCAAGGACAACACCAUCCAAAAACACACCGAAACAAAAGGAAAGAAAAAAAAAGAUUCUACCAAGAUCUAAGGAUAACAGAACAAGAAGAUGAAAAUCCAAAGAGAGAGAGAGAAAUUCUACGCAUGGUGUGGUGGAGGAUAUGAGUCAUUCUGCUGACUUCUGAACUGUAGAGAGAGAAGGAAGAUGCGUGUGAAUGGCGAGGAAGCGUCUAGACGCAAGGGGAACCGUGAGGUCGAGACGGGACGGUGGGUGGGGAUUUAAGCAGCUUGAGAGAGCGGAACGUCUUGUUUCCGGAAGCGUCUGUGGGUUCCGGAACCUUCCGAGCGGGGGCAAUAGAGUAAAAUCCACGCGACGCGCACCGACCAGCCGUUCCUGCUGCUGCGUGCGCUCUUGGCGAUUGUGCG